Molecule: ribosomal RNA, 1510 nt
Filed under: Escherichia coli
Lineage: Bacteria; Pseudomonadati; Pseudomonadota; Gammaproteobacteria; Enterobacterales; Enterobacteriaceae
Description: partial 23S ribosomal RNA
Rfam family: Bacterial large subunit ribosomal RNA
Source: RNAcentral
CUGGAGGUAUCAGAAGUGCGAAUGCUGACAUAAGUAACGAUAAAGCGGGUGAAAAGCCCGCUCGCCGGAAGACCAAGGGUUCCUGUCCAACGUUAAUCGGGGCAGGGUGAGUCGACCCCUAAGGCGAGGCCGAAAGGCGUAGUCGAUGGGAAACAGGUUAAUAUUCCUGUACUUGGUGUUACUGCGAAGGGGGGACGGAGAAGGCUAUGUUGGCCGGGCGACGGUUGUCCCGGUUUAAGCGUGUAGGCUGGUUUUCCAGGCAAAUCCGGAAAAUCAAGGCUGAGGCGUGAUGACGAGGCACUACGGUGCUGAAGCAACAAAUGCCCUGCUUCCAGGAAAAGCCUCUAAGCAUCAGGUAACAUCAAAUCGUACCCCAAACCGACACAGGUGGUCAGGUAGAGAAUACCAAGGCGCUUGAGAGAACUCGGGUGAAGGAACUAGGCAAAAUGGUGCCGUAACUUCGGGAGAAGGCACGCUGAUAUGUAGGUGAAGUCCCUCGCGGAUGGAGCUGAAAUCAGUCGAAGAUACCAGCUGGCUGCAACUGUUUAUUAAAAACACAGCACUGUGCAAACACGAAAGUGGACGUAUACGGUGUGACGCCUGCCCGGUGCCGGAAGGUUAAUUGAUGGGGUUAGCCGCAAGGCGAAGCUCUUGAUCGAAGCCCCGGUAAACGGCGGCCGUAACUAUAACGGUCCUAAGGUAGCGAAAUUCCUUGUCGGGUAAGUUCCGACCUGCACGAAUGGCGUAAUGAUGGCCAGGCUGUCUCCACCCGAGACUCAGUGAAAUUGAACUCGCUGUGAAGAUGCAGUGUACCCGCGGCAAGACGGAAAGACCCCGUGAACCUUUACUAUAGCUUGACACUGAACAUUGAGCCUUGAUGUGUAGGAUAGGUGGGAGGCUUUGAAGUGUGGACGCCAGUCUGCAUGGAGCCGACCUUGAAAUACCACCCUUUAAUGUUUGAUGUUCUAACGUUGACCCGUAAUCCGGGUUGCGGACAGUGUCUGGUGGGUAGUUUGACUGGGGCGGUCUCCUCCUAAAGAGUAACGGAGGAGCACGAAGGUUGGCUAAUCCUGGUCGGACAUCAGGAGGUUAGUGCAAUGGCAUAAGCCAGCUUGACUGCGAGCGUGACGGCGCGAGCAGGUGCGAAAGCAGGUCAUAGUGAUCCGGUGGUUCUGAAUGGAAGGGCCAUCGCUCAACGGAUAAAAGGUACUCCGGGGAUAACAGGCUGAUACCGCCCAAGAGUUCAUAUCGACGGCGGUGUUUGGCACCUCGAUGUCGGCUCAUCACAUCCUGGGGCUGAAGUAGGUCCCAAGGGUAUGGCUGUUCGCCAUUUAAAGUGGUACGCGAGCUGGGUUUAGAACGUCGUGAGACAGUUCGGUCCCUAUCUGCCGUGGGCGCUGGAGAACUGAGGGGGGCUGCUCCUAGUACGAGAGGACCGGAGUGGACGCAUCACUGGUGUUCGGGUUGUCAUGCCAAUGGCACUGCCCGGUAGCUAAAUGCGGAAGAGAUA